UGGGGAAUUUUGGACAAUGGGCGAAAGCCUGAUCCAGCCAUGCCGCGUGCAGGAUGAAGGCCUUCGGGUUGUAAACUGCUUUUGUACGGAACGAAAAGACUCUGGUUAAUACCUGGGGUCCAUGACGGUACCGUAAGAAUAAGCACCGGCUAACUACGUGCCAGCAGCCGCGGUAAUACGUAGGGUGCAAGCGUUAAUCGGAAUUACUGGGCGUAAAGCGUGCGCAGGCGGUUAUAUAAGACAGAUGUGAAAUCCCCGGGCUCAACCUGGGAACUGCAUUUGUGACUGUAUAGCUAGAGUACGGCAGAGGGGGAUGGAAUCCCGCGUGUAGCAGUGAAAUGCGUAGAUAUGCGGAGGAACACCGAUGGCGAAGGCAAUCCCCUGGGCCUGUACUGACGCUCAUGCACGAAAGCGUGGGGAGCAAACAGGAUUAGAUACCCUGGUAGUCCACGCCCUAAACGAUGUCAACUGGUUGUUGGGUCUUCACUGACUCAGUAACGAAGCUAACGCGUGAAGUUGACCGCCUGGGGAGU
Molecule: ribosomal RNA, 533 nt
Filed under: uncultured bacterium
Lineage: Bacteria
Description: partial 16S ribosomal RNA
Rfam family: Bacterial small subunit ribosomal RNA
Source: RNAcentral